Molecule: long non-coding RNA, 1021 nt
Filed under: Homo sapiens (human)
Lineage: Eukaryota; Metazoa; Chordata; Mammalia; Primates; Hominidae
Description: novel transcript
Source: RNAcentral
CAUCUGUGACAUCAUGCUGGGGCUGCUUGCCCACUUGGCUCCCUCUAGGGAAGUACUCCCAGCUGCCCACAGUCAUCCUUCUCCAUCCCACUGACCUUCCACCCGUGACCAAUCAGGAGAUGUUUCCAGUUUAUUGGUGAAUUUAUUAGGGCUCAGAGAGGAUGACCUAUCCAAGGUCCCACUGCCAACUGAAUGUAGGACAAGUCUCUGAACCCAGUGUGCCCCUGCCAGAAAGUAGCAGGGAUCACAGAAGUCCAGCAGAGGUCUGCCGCCUUGGACCCCGCCUCUUACACAUUGAGUGUGGUUUCUGCAGUGAUGAUAGAUCCUCCGAAUGAGGAACAAUGUAUUCUUCUUUUCUCCUAAUUCUCCUAAAAAAUCCACUUGGGAGAUACCUGCUGCAAAACUUAAAGGCAACCAUAUUCUGUACUUAGAUGAAGUGUUUGUCAAGCUCCCUGGAAAAGAGAAUCAAAGGACCCUGACUUGUUUACUCUGCCUUCUGGAAGAAAAAAGUGAUGAGAGAGAGUGGCAAUCUCACACCAUGCUGAAAAGCGCCCCCCAACUAACUCAGAUCCAUGCGUCCCUUUGGGCCCUGAGGAAUAAUACUGCUGGUUUAAUUCAAGAUAUAAAACCAAUAAAAAUGGUUUACCUAAAGGAUAUGCCACAAUGGCCGUAUGUGAAACAAUAUCCUUUGUCCUGAGCUCGGUUUGAGAGAAUCAAACCCAUUAUAAAAGAAUUAGAAAAACAAGGGAUACUUCUAUAAAAGGUAGCCUCACCUUGUCAUACUCCCAUACUUCCAGUAAGCAAGGAAAGUAAAUUUGGUAAAGAUGGUUGACCAUUGUGUAGAUUUGUACAAGAUCUUUGAGAAGUAAAUGAAUUUGUAGUUCCUAAUCCUGCAACUAUUUUGACUUUGUUUCUGUUGUCUGUAAUGUGUUCUGCUUUUUCUUCCUGUUCCUGUCCAAACCCUUGUUUGCUUUUACCUACAAAGGAGUUCAAUACUUAACUUAGUAAAGAAUUUCUCAAG